AUUGAACGCUGGCGGAAUGCUUUACACAUGCAAGUCGAGCGGCAGCGCGGGGCAACCUGGCGGCGAGCGGCGAACGGGUGAGUAAUGCAUCGGAACAUGUCCAUGUCGUGGGGGAUAGCCCGGCGAAAGCCGGAUUAAUACCGCAUACGCUCGAGAGAGGAAAGCCGGGGACCGCAAGGCCUGGCGCGAUUGGGUUGGCCGAUGUCCGAUUAGCUAGUUGGUGAGGUAAAGGACUUACCAAGGCGAUGAUCGGUAGCUGGUCUGAGAGGAUGAUCAGCCACACUGGGACUGAGACACGGUCCAGACUCCUACGGGAGGCAGCAGUGAGGAAUAUUGCGCAAUGGCCGAAAGGCUGACGCAGCGACGCCGCGUGAGGGAUGAAGUCCGUUAGGAUGUAAACCUACUUUUGCAGGGGAUGAACGUCUCGCUAUACGCGGGAUUGACCGUACCUUGCGAAUAAGGAUCGGCUAACUACGUGCC
RNAcentral lists this ribosomal RNA (480 nucleotides) under uncultured bacterium. RNAcentral's name for it is "bacterial SSU rRNA". It matches the Rfam family "Bacterial small subunit ribosomal RNA", at positions 29 to 509 of the family's 1533-position model. The record is from RNAcentral.